RNAcentral lists this ribosomal RNA (510 nucleotides) under uncultured bacterium. RNAcentral describes it as "bacterial SSU rRNA". It matches the Rfam family "Bacterial small subunit ribosomal RNA", at positions 15 to 518 of the family's 1533-position model. The record is from RNAcentral.
GAUUAUGGCUCAGGAUGAACGCUAGCGACAGGCCUAACACAUGCAAGUCGAGGGGCAGCACGAAGGAAGCUUGCUUCUUGGUGGCGACCGGCGCACGGGUGCGUAACAGGUGUGUAAUCUGUCCAUAGUCGGGGGAUAGCCCAGCGAAAGCUGAAUUAAUACUCCAUGUGAAUCGAAGCCGCAUGACUUUGAUUUGAAACGUAAGGACUAUGGGUGAGCACGCUUCUGAUUAGGUAGUUGGUGGGGUAACGGCCCACCAAGCCGACGAUCAGUAGGGGUUCUGAGAGGAAGGUCCCCCACAUUGGAACUGAGACACGGUCCAAACUCCUACGGGAGGCAGCAGUGAGGAAUAUUGGUCAAUGGGCGAGAGCCUGAACCAGCCAAGUCGCGUGAAAGGAUGAAGGUUCUAUGGAUUGUAAACUUCUUUUGUCCGAGGGUAAAAAAGGUCACGUGUGACUUCUUGCAAGUAUCGGACGAAUAAGCAUCGGCUAACUCCGUGCCAGCCGCAGC